CCCCCUGGACGAAGACUGACGCUCAGGUGCGAAAGCGUGGGGAGCAAACAGGAUUAGAUACCCUGGUAGUCCACGCCGUAAACGAUGUCGACUUGGAGGUUGUGCCCUUGAGGCGUGGCUUCCGGAGCUAACGCGUUAAGUCGACCGCCUGGGGAGUACGGCCGCAAGGUUAAAACUCAAAUGAAUUGACGGGGGCCCGCACAAGCGGUGGAGCAUGUGGUUUAAUUCGAUGCAACGCGAAGAACCUUACCUACUCUUGACAUCCAGAGAACUUACCAGAGAUGCUUUGGUGCCUUCGGGAACUCUGAGACAGGUGCUGCAUGGCUGUCGUCAGCUCGUGUUGUGAAAUGUUGGGUUAAGUCCCGCAACGAGCGCAACCCUUAUCCUUUGUUGCCAGCGGU
RNAcentral lists this ribosomal RNA (401 nucleotides) under Enterobacter hormaechei. RNAcentral's name for it is "bacterial SSU rRNA". It matches the Rfam family "Bacterial small subunit ribosomal RNA", at positions 725 to 1125 of the family's 1533-position model. The record is from RNAcentral. Lineage: Bacteria; Pseudomonadati; Pseudomonadota; Gammaproteobacteria; Enterobacterales; Enterobacteriaceae.